UAAUACGGAGGGUGCAAGCGUUAUCCGGAUUCACUGGGUUUAAAGGGUGCGUAGGCGGGCAGGUAAGUCCGUGGUGAAAUCUCCGAGCUUAACUCGGAAACUGCCAUGGAUACUAUUUGUCUUGAAUACUGUGGAGGUGAGCGGAAUAUGUCAUGUAGCGGUGAAAUGCUUAGAGAUGACAUAGAACACCAAUUGCGAAGGCAGCUCACUGCGCAGUUAUUGACGCUGAGGCACGAAAGCGUGGGGAUCAAACAGGAUUAGAUACCCUGGUAGUCCACGCCCUAAACGAUGGAUACUCGACAUACGUGAUAUGACAAUGUGUGUCUGAGCGAAAGCAUUAAGUAUCCCACCUGGGAAGUACGACCGCAAGGUUG
Molecule: ribosomal RNA, 374 nt
Filed under: uncultured bacterium
Lineage: Bacteria
Description: bacterial SSU rRNA
Rfam family: Bacterial small subunit ribosomal RNA
Source: RNAcentral